GAUGAACGCUGGCGGCGUGCCUAAUACAUGCAAGUCGAGCGAACGGACGAGAAGCUUGCUUCUCUGAUGUUAGCGGCGGACGGGUGAGUAACACGUGGAUAACCUACCUAUAAGACUGGGAUAACUUCGGGAAACCGGAGCUAAUACCGGAUAAUAUUUUGAACCGCAUGGUUCAAAAGUGAAAGACGGUCUUGCUGCCACUUAUAGAUGGAUCCGCGCUGCAUUAGCUAGUUGGUAAGGUAACGGCUUACCAAGGCAACGAUGCAUAGCCGACCUGAGAGGGUGGUCGGCCACACUGGAACUGAGACACGGUCCAGACUCCUACGGGAGGCAGCAGUAGGGAAUCUUCCGCAAUGGGCGAAAGCCUGACGGAGCAACGCCGCGUGAGUGAUGAAGGUCUUCGGAUCGUAAAACUCUGUUAUUAGGGAAGAACAUGUGUGUAAGUAACUGUGCACAUCUUGACGGUACCUAAUCAGAAAGCCACGGCUAACUACGUG
This 497-nucleotide ribosomal RNA is filed under the name uncultured bacterium. RNAcentral's name for it is "partial 16S ribosomal RNA". It matches the Rfam family "Bacterial small subunit ribosomal RNA", at positions 28 to 507 of the family's 1533-position model. The record is from RNAcentral.